UGUUCUUCAUAACAGGGUAGUGCUGCGAGAGGAAAUCUUAGCAAGGAGGAUGCUGCCUUUAUUUGUGUGCAAGCACCUGAUGCAGUCCCACAAAGAGGAUUUAUAUUUGAGGUGGUCAAUGGAGAUGAGAAGAUUUCAGAUUGGCAAGAGUGUAUGGCUAGAUUGAUGGAGAAAGCUGGGCAACAGCUUCAAUAAUAACACCCAAACCAUGCUAAAAAAGGUGCCAAUCAUUUAUGUUUAUUUGUUUUUCUUUGUUCUUGGCGGUGUUCUCAUGAAAUGUUUUGCCAGAGAAAAGGGCAUUACAAGUGAGUUUGUUUUACACAUGAACUGCAUAACCAUUAACCAGUAAUGAUUCAGAGAACAUAAGUGUUAGUGCUAAAUUUCUGAUAUCAAGCAGUUGCCAAAGCCCAA
Molecule: long non-coding RNA, 411 nt
Organism: Quercus robur (English oak)
Lineage: Eukaryota; Viridiplantae; Streptophyta; Magnoliopsida; Fagales; Fagaceae
Exons: 2
Source: RefSeq, a predicted model, not a curated record